Long non-coding RNA from Drosophila santomea, 916 nucleotides. RefSeq lists it as uncharacterized. The record is from RefSeq and is a predicted model, not a curated record. The transcript is spliced from 3 exons. NCBI's taxonomy places the organism in Eukaryota, Metazoa, Arthropoda, Insecta, Diptera, Drosophilidae.
AUUGUAAACACAAUGUCGAAAUUAAUUUUUAUUUUGUUCUCUGUUUUCGGGCUUUUCUCCGGUCUGAUCUGUUACCUUCAAUUCUGCUUCUAGUGCCGUGGACUUCCCCUUUUUCCUGUCCAUUUUCCACGUCCAAGAUGUCGGAGGGGGCGAGCUCCACGUUCCACUAAGCGACACUGACUAAUUUGGAACCAUUAAUCACGGAGCUGCUUAGCGUCAGUCACGUUGGUUGGGCAGCCAUCAAUACGCAUCAAAAUCGAAUGCGAAUAGUGCAUGUUUACAUGGAUGGAUGUGCAAUACACCUUGGGACAAAAUGUUAGGUCAUAAUUGAAAUAGCAGCAAGCUGCUGGGAAUGUCUAAUCCUGAAACAAGACAAGACUUUGGAAGUAGUAGACAAUUGGUUCAAUCGGUUUUAUUUUUGUCAUAUUUUUUUUAAAAGUUAUGCACAUAUUCUUAAAAUACCUGGAAGAUAACAAUUUGUUUUAAGAAGAAGUGCUAUUAUCUUGACUGCAACUGUGAUGACGAAUGUGUAACCGCUGCGUCUCGCUUGGGUGUCGGUCGUUUGGUGUCCCUGAUUUGCCUCCAUUUCGAAGCCCAGUGUGCAGUGCUCAGUGCCCAUUCCGAUUUUCAUAGACCAAACGGGUCCAAAUGUAAGCCCACCCAUUCCCGUUCCCCUUUUCGGCGGACAUCGAGGCGAGUGCGGUUGUGGACUUGGACGUGGAUCUGAAUCUGAAUCUGAAUCUGGACGCCGACGUGGACAAGGCGUCCAAUCAAGCCGCGUGUCUGGCAGUCAACUAGUCACUCACUUUGGCCACAGAGACUGCGUCAGUCCAUCAGUCAAAUACUCGCUUUAAUUUCGACCUUCUCGCGAUCAGCGAAAGAACUGGAAAAAUGUGUAUUUUCCAUGUAUUUUAUA